This 301-nucleotide ribosomal RNA is filed under the name uncultured bacterium. RNAcentral describes it as "partial 16S ribosomal RNA". It matches the Rfam family "Bacterial small subunit ribosomal RNA", at positions 509 to 807 of the family's 1533-position model. The record is from RNAcentral.
CAGCAGCCACGGUAAUACGUAGGGUGCGAGCGUUAAUCGGAAUUACUGGGCGUAAAGCGUGCGCAGGCGGUUCGUUAAGACAGAUGUGAAAUCCCCGGGCUUAACCUGGGAACUGCAUUUAUGACUGACGGGCUAGAGUAUGGCAGAGGGGGGUAGAAUUCCACGUGUAGCAGUGAAAUGCGUAGAGAUGUGGAGGAAUACCGAUGGCGAAGGCAGCCCCCUGGGCCAAUACUGACGCUCAUGCACGAAAGCGUGGGGAGCAAACAGGAUUAGAUACCCCCGUAGUCCCUGUCUCUUAUAC